RNAcentral lists this long non-coding RNA (617 nucleotides) under Callithrix jacchus (white-tufted-ear marmoset). Its description in RNAcentral is "lncRNA (ENSCJAG00000084446.1)". Lineage: Eukaryota; Metazoa; Chordata; Mammalia; Primates; Cebidae. The record is from RNAcentral.
ACCGUGGACACGGCCUGGAGUCGUCACAAAGCGAGUGGUGUCCCCGAGGACUCCGCUAACAACGCUGCUCUGACUGCACAAUGCUAGCAGGGUCGGUGCUAAGGAAAACGCAGCUUCGCCAUCGCGGUGCCCCCCGAACGACACCCCCGGGUCUGUGCUGAAGAAGACGCAGCUCCACACUCGCAGAGGCCCCCGCCCGAGAUAUUAUUUCCUCCCGAUGUUUUCAUGAAAGCUCCUGCAAUCAGCUACAGGUCAGAACGUUUGUCUACAACACAGGACUGCCUCUGAGACCCACAGGAAAGACCAAGACAGGCCCUCCCUCUUUGCUUGUACCUCAGAGUGCAACGAUGAAAUUAACUGGAAGGCUUUUUUUGUCUGAAGACAUUAAACAUGUGUUUCCAUACAAUGUAGAUUUUCAAAAGGGUUUUCUUUUUUUGGCAAUAGCACAAAAUAAGAUUUAUAGAAAGACAUUAACCACUGUAAGACUUGGUAAACAUUUUUUAAAAUUCAGUGUUUAAAUAAAUGUAAUGUAUGCUGGUUUAAAUGUGGAAGGUGUAAACAUAAAGUGAGCAGACAAAUAACCAUAUAGCCCUACUUUCAAUGGAUGAGAUGACUGA